This 138-nucleotide microRNA precursor is filed under the name Mus pahari (shrew mouse). RNAcentral's name for it is "microRNA 8093 (MGP_PahariEiJ_G0007324.1)". Lineage: Eukaryota; Metazoa; Chordata; Mammalia; Rodentia; Muridae. The record is from RNAcentral.
AGAGAAGGUGAGUGUCUUUCCCUGUGUCUGAGUCCUUGGGGGGGGGAGGCAGAGCAUGAGUGGAGGGGCUCCCUGCUCCCUGCGUGCUGUCUACUCUCCUACAGGUGGACCUGGCAGUGGUGGAGGUGGGCAUUGGUG